RNAcentral lists this ribosomal RNA (468 nucleotides) under uncultured bacterium. Its description in RNAcentral is "partial 16S ribosomal RNA". It matches the Rfam family "Bacterial small subunit ribosomal RNA", at positions 28 to 507 of the family's 1533-position model. The record is from RNAcentral.
GACGAACGCUGGCGGCGUGCUUAAUACAUGCAAGUCGAACGGAAAGGCCCUGCUUUUGUGGGGUGCUCGAGUGGCGAACGGGUGAGUAACACGUGAGUAACCUGCCCUUGACUUUGGGAUAACUUCAGGAAACUGGGGCUAAUACCGGAUAGGAGCUCCUGCUGCAUGGUGGGGGUUGGAAAGUUUCGGCGGUUGGGGAUGGACUCGCGGCUUAUCAGUUUGUUGGUGGGGUAGCGGCUUACCAAGGCUUUGACGGGUAGCCGGCCUGAGAGGGUGACCGGCCACAUUGGGAAUGAGAUACGGCCCAGACUCCUACGGGAGGCAGCAGUGGGGAAUAUUGCACAAUGGGCGGAAGCCUGAUGCAGCAACGCCGCGUGCGGGAUAACGGCCUUCGGGUUAUAAACCGCUUUCGCCUGUGACGAAGCGUGAGUGACGGUAAUGGGUAAAGAAGCACCGGCUAACUACGUG